CGUGAGCCAGCUCUGGCCACAGGGGACUCCCUCCUUCCCAGAUUCUUGCUGUCUGACCAGUAGUUUCCUGGCGGAGACUCUUUCCCACAUGAGGCACUCAGCUGAAGGACUCUCUCACAGGGGAUUCUCAGGGAAAAAGGAACACAGCUGCAGGAGGGACGGAGGUGCCCCCAAGGCAAGGCCUUCCUCCCACCCCAGAAACAAGUCUGUUCCCUGGCAUGAGCCUGGGGAAGUGAAGCCGGAGGGGACUGAGUCUGGGCGGGUGAAGCUAACCAGGACCACCACUGCCCUGAGGGAUUAUUCUAGGCACAUUUUCUGAGGCCCCAGGGGUAAGAGCAGGGGCCAGAAGCAAGGAACACAGGGCUAGCCGUAGGAUGAACUUUCUCACAGGGCUGGUGAGCAGGGCUCAGGGAGAUAGUGAGCACUCCACUGUGAAGGUGUGCAAACCGAGAUGCGAUGAGUCGGCCGGGACCUUGGAACAUGCUGUCCCCAUCUCGGAGACCUUGUCUCGUCCUGGGUGCUGGUGUCCGCAGGGACAUCUGCCUGUCUCCCGUCGUGCCUCCUGUUGCGUCCAUCCCAUGAGGCGAGCCAGACGCCGGUCGCAGGAAACGGCCUGUGCCAUCUUCCGUUUGAAAGGCAGGAGGCCACCCGUACUGGACUUGCUGCCUCGUAUCCUAUGGACCUACUUUUUCCAGCUCCUACAGGAAUAACCUGUUCCCUACCUCAGCUAUCAACACUUUCUGCCCAGAGUUCCUCGGAAGCCAUGGUGGGGACCCACCGGAGAACUCACGCUUGGAAGUAUCAGGGUGCUGACGUGGGCGGACCUUGAGCCCUUGACGGUGGGAGCCCGCAGUUUCGUGGAUGUGCAACUAGGAGGUUGGCAAUGAUUUCCUGCAAGGUGGCAGCUGGGGUGACGUGACCGACCACAGGGCAGAAGUGUGCCCUAACUUCCACUCCAACAAACCUUUCUACAUGUAAUUCCCUACAUUAAAUAUCUUUC
Long non-coding RNA from Mirounga angustirostris (Northern elephant seal), 1000 nucleotides. RefSeq lists it as uncharacterized. The transcript is spliced from 3 exons. The record is from RefSeq and is a predicted model, not a curated record. Lineage: Eukaryota; Metazoa; Chordata; Mammalia; Carnivora; Phocidae.